UCCGUAGGCGGUGUGGCAAGUCGGUAGUGAAAUCUCUCGGCUUAACUGAGAGGCUGCUGCCGAAACUGCCAUGCUCGAGUGCGAGAGAGGCGAGUGGAAUUGCGGGUGUAGCGGUGAAAUGCGUAGAUAUCCGCAGGAACAUCCGAGGCGAAAGCGGCUCGCUGGAUCGCAACUGACGCUGAGGGACGAAAGCUAGGGGAGCAAACAGGAUUAGAUACCCUGGUAGUCCUAGCCCUAAACCAUCAGGACUUGGGGUUUGCCCUGUACGGGGCAAGUCCCGGAGCUAGCGCGUUAAGUCCUGCGCCUGGGGAGUACGGUCGCAAGGCUGAA
This 330-nucleotide ribosomal RNA is filed under the name uncultured bacterium. RNAcentral's name for it is "bacterial SSU rRNA". It matches the Rfam family "Bacterial small subunit ribosomal RNA", at positions 568 to 898 of the family's 1533-position model. The record is from RNAcentral.